GUGAGGAAUCUUCCACAAUGGGCGAAAGCCUGAUGGAGCAACGCCGCGUGAAGGAUGAAGGUCUUCGGAUUGUAAACUUCUUUUAUGAGUGAAGAAUAUGACGGUAACUCAUGAAUAAGCACCGGCUAACUACGUGCCAGCAGCCGCGGUCAUACGUAGGGUGCAAGCAUUAUCCGGAGUGACUGGGCGUAAAGAGUUGCGUAGGCGGUUAUGUAAGCGAAUAGUGAAACCACGUGGCUCAACCACACAGACUAUUAUUCGAACUGCAUAACUCGAGAAUGGUAGAGGUAACUGGAAUUUCUUGUGUAGGAGUGAAAUCCGUAGAUAUAAGAAGGAACACCAAUGGCGUAGGCAGGUUACUGGGCCAUUUCUGACGCUAAGGCACGAAAGCGUGGGGAGCGAACCGGAUUAGAUACCCUAGUAGUCC
RNAcentral lists this ribosomal RNA (427 nucleotides) under uncultured bacterium. RNAcentral's name for it is "partial 16S ribosomal RNA". It matches the Rfam family "Bacterial small subunit ribosomal RNA", at positions 354 to 796 of the family's 1533-position model. The record is from RNAcentral.